This is a long non-coding RNA of Acinonyx jubatus (cheetah), 7049 nucleotides long. RefSeq lists it as uncharacterized. The transcript has 4 exons. NCBI's taxonomy places the organism in Eukaryota, Metazoa, Chordata, Mammalia, Carnivora, Felidae. The record is from RefSeq and is a predicted model, not a curated record.
CGCGGCCUGCGUCUGGGGCAGCUGGCUCGGCGCCCUGAAGGGGGGCUUCAACAGUAGCAGCCCCUCCCCCGGGCCCUUCCGGGAGCCCCCGACAGGCCGGAAAGGAACCCGACCCGGCUCCGGAGGAAAAGCCGAAGAAAUGGAUCAUUGGAUGCUGCUAAGCAGCCAGCGGGCCAGGACUCCUGCGUUACAAUCUGGGCCUGUCCUUUUUGGCAGAAUGGAGCCUUAUUUUCCUCAUCUGUAAAAUGGAGAUAUUAGUUCCCAUCUCGGAGAGUGAUGGUCCAGCUGGCAUGAGAAUUUCAUGAGAUGGCUGAAUGUUAAUCAUCUUCACAAACAGAAGCCGUCAGGGUGGAAAGAGCAAGGUGGGAGAUAUCCCCAGCUUCUCAAAAAUUCACCUUACACUUCACUUUUAUAAAAAGACCUGCAUUAGUGCCUAUUUUCACUAACCAAGUGAAAUCUGAAGAUGAUAUUCAGUUUUACCAAAAAAUGUCAGUGAAAGCAAAAACGGUGUUCAGCAUCUGUUAGUGAGCCAUCAUAGAGGCGGGGCACCUGAGCAGCGAGAGUGAUGCAGCCAAGCUCCUUCCCUGGGAACUACACUCAGCAUCCAGCUGCCACAGCUUUGAACUGUGUCUGUAAGCAUCUGUGCUUUAUCUCAAUUUAUUUUGUGCUUUUGCUAGCAAGAUGUGUCCUAAGGUAUCAGAAAAGCCUAAGAAAGGUUAGUUUUUGGUUUGGGAAGGCUCAAUUUUUUUUCCAUAUAAAUUAAUGUAAAAUUCAUUUCACAUCAUUUCAGCUAAGGACAGUUUUAAUGGGAAUGCUCCUCUUUCAGAUAGGAGGGGAAACCCAUACUGAGUAUAUAUUCUGGAUAUAAGUCUUUUAUCAGAUACUUACCUUAAAAAUUUUUUCCCAAUCUGUAGCUUGCUUUUCAUUUUCUUAACAAUCUUUUGACAAGCAGAAGUUCUCAAUUUUGAUGAAGUUCAAUUUAUCAAUUUUUUAAAUUUAUGGACUGUGCUUUUGGUGUUGGAUCUAAGAAAUUUUUGCCUAACCUACAGUCACAAGAUUUUCUCCUAUGUUUUCUCUAGGAGUUUUUUCAUUUGGGGUUUUAUCUAUGGUUCGUUUUUAACUAGUUUUUGCAAAUAGUGCAAAACAUAGGUCAAAUUUCAUUUUUUUUUUUUUUUUGUAUGUGAAUGUCCAAUUAUUCCAGCACUGUUUGUUGAAAAGACUUUCCUUUCUCUUGACCAGCCCCUAUAUGUGUUUUUAACGCUAUGGCUCUUUGAGGCAUUGAUGCCAGCACUCUAGAGCUUUCUUACACAAAAGUCAGUAGCAUAGCAGGGAUGAAUGCCUUACCUGAUCCCAAAAGAGAACUGCUUAUGCCUGAAUAAAACACAGACUUUUCAAUGAACAGCUCUUUUAGCUUUAACUUACAGCCCCUCUACUCUCCCGAGGACUUAGACGAGUCUGCUGAGACCUGCACCAGGAAAUUGCUAUGACUGUCAAGCACAGUCUGGGUCCAGAACUGCCUCUCUUCUCCGAUGACACUCAUAUACCCCCGGAGGCUCCUUGAUCAGAGAGGUUUUGAAUCAUCUGCACUCAACUAAUCAGCCUCCAUGAAAGAGAAUGCCCUGAGAAGGCAUCAGCUGCCUUUAUCUUUCUGGUUGCUUUUACCUGUCAAAGUUGCUGUUGAUUUUCAUUUUAGCUUGAUCAUAAUCAGUGAAGGAGAAAGUACACUGUGCAAGAUAUAUAAAGCUUCUGCUGGGGUGCCUGGCUGGCUCAGUCGGUUAGAGCAUGAGACUCUUGAUCUCAGGAGCCAUGAGUUUGAGCCCCAUGUUGGGCGUAGAGGUUACUUUAAAAAUAAGCUAGGGGACUGCAGUCCCUCUUCUGGGUAGGGUGAGGCCUCUGGCUCUGCCUUGGGAUACUGAGACUUCCUCUUUUGGGGAUGCAGGUCCAGCUGUGACCCCUGAUGCCUGGGCAGCUCUGAGUCAGUUAUGGGAUAAACCUGUCUGCUUGAUGGACCUUCCAGGGAAUACUCACAGCAGACCCAUAGACUGCAUGAUCCCAGGUUCCUGAAUGCUCUGCUUCCCACUAUGGGCUUCAUAAUGCAUGAGGGCUGGAGCUGGUGGAGGAGAGUGGGCAGGCAGACAUGACCCAACUGCUCUAGCUUAAUGAGAGAUCAGAGCUGCCUGAAAUGUAAAUGGCAGCAACUCAGGGGACAUCACCUGCUAUGGAAUAGCUGUGUGCAUAACUCUGUGUGCCUGCAAUGAGAGUGGCCAUAUGGGAGUGUGCAAAGCUGACUGGGUAUGUCAUGAUGUGUAUAUGCUCGUACUCAGCUCUGAUCCCCAAGUGCAGUGUAACUUGAGGCAUUUCAUCUCCUUCUCUGGACCUUAGUUUCCUUCACAGUAAAAUGAGAGGAUCUGAAGAACUCUAAAGCUCCUCCCUCUUCCACCACUGUUCCUUCCACCUCCCUCCAGACUCUUCUCCCUGGUUUCAGCAGAGCAGCUCCUCCAGCCUCUGAAGCCCAUCACUGCAGAUGUCCAGCCACCAGUGGCCUCAUCUUCUACCUCAAGUUCCCAGUGAGGCCUUUCUUUACAGGAGGAACUCUCUCACUGAGAAGAAUUCUGGAACUUUCUCCACUACCUUGUGCAUGUGUGUGUGUGUUUAUGUGCAAUUGUGACUACAAGUGUGUUUGUGAUCGGCCAUGGGAAAGGGAGAGAUGGCAGGGGUCUCCAAGGGGGCAGUGAAUCCAUUUGCUUGUGUCUCUGUGUCUCUUUUUCCAAGCUCCCAGAGAUAGGCUCCUAAGGGCAUGUACCCACUCACAAGCUUUGUGCACAUUCUCACAGUAUCUAUUUAUAGCAAGACUCAGUCAAGUACCACUUCCUCCAAGAACCUCUCCUCAUAGCCCCACACUGGGCUAACUGCCCUUCUGCUGUUUUCUACAAGCCCUGUGCCCUGAGCACUUUUCCAGUAGAACAUUCAUCACAUUCUACCAAUGCUGUUUUCUUGCUUGCCCCAUCUCUGUAGUGAAAUCUCUAGAGGAUAGGGACCGUGUCUCAUUCCCUUGGCAUCCCAGCAUCUGGAAUGUUCAGAACCUGUGUGUGGACUGGGUGACCUCACCUCACGUACUCCCAGUAGGACAUUCUGUCCUCAGUGGCCCCAUACCCCUAUGUUACCACCCGCUUUGGAGUGUGAGGUAAAACAAACCUAAUAUACCCAUAGAGCUUUCCCCUUGGGAUCACCACCCCAAGACCUUCCUCUGGCCCAGGAGAGGCCUGCUCUAACUGUGAAAAUGGAGACAGCCUGGGAUACAGGGUGUGGGUGCUCGGCUGAUCCCACCAGUUUUAGGGCCCUCACCACAGGAAGCGUUCCUCCUCUUUUCUGCACUUUCUGGCCCUGCUAUGAACCUUGUUGGCGCCAGUGGGCUUUUAAUAUUUUCUGUUCCUGGCUGUUAUACAACAUUUCACCUCAAAAAUGCAUCCUUCCCCUCACCAAAGGGCACGCCUUUCCAGUGAAAGGAACCCAGGGCUGGUGAGAGGAGGUGACCCACUGCAUUCUGGGCUCGGGGGAGUCCCAGCCCAGUGCUUUGAGAAAGAGGUGGCAGAAAUGUCUUCCCAGCCAAAGGAGACAAGCUCCCUGGCCAGUCUGAGGCCUCACGGUCCCACAGGAAGCCUGGAUCCACAGCAAGCAGGGGGACACCUUCUUGGUUCUAUGUGGGACUCCAGCCCCAUCCCUUCUAGUUGCCUUUACCUCACUGAGCCCUACUGGUGCCUCUGCACAGUGAGGAUGACGACAGUGCCCGUCUUUCAGGGUCCUUGUGAGGCCUGAAUGCUGCACAUUUGGGUCAUGCAGGGAGCUUUAAAACACACCCGGCCCAUGCCCAUCAGAGAUGCUGAUUUAAGGAUAUGGGUGCAGCCUGGACAUCAGUAUUUUUUAAAAGCUCUCGGUGAUUCACUCCAGCCACAGCUGGGAACCACUUGCUUGGAUGGGAAAGCACUGUCCUGGGGACUCGUUACAGGUACAACUGCUACUUUGAUGAGCAAGGGCACCACACCGCCCAUUUUCUCGAACAUGCAAUCCCAUGGAUGCCUGAAAUCCCCUGACAGAGUAAAGGGAAAAGCACUUUGAAAAGGCAGGUGAGGAGUCCUGCAGGUUUACUCUGUGCCUUUCCAAGUCCACCCUGCCCACAGACAGAUGCCUCUGAGCCACCAGCCCGGUCCCACGCUGGAGCCCCACAGACCUGCCCUAGUGACCCCUCUGCUGGGUGGGCCAGGUCCACCCCAGAAGGACUCAGGCCUGUGGCUCCCUCCCAGACACAGGCCCUGAACCCAAGAGUGGGACCGUGAGGUGGAGGUGACCCCGCUCCCGUCACCCCUCACUGCAUGUUGGGGUAAAGGGCAGCUGUCACUACAGAAUUAACUGGGAAAGAGGCAGUGCCCCAUACUGGGGAGGAGAGGAUGUUCAGGGGCCCGGUGGGGAGAGUAACAUCUGCCUUCUUCACCCACAGAAGGUUCCACAGCCCAGAGGAAGAAAACAGCUGGAGAGCUGGGCCCCUCAGGGAAAGCAAGUGGGGAGCAGCACAUCUUCUCACAGUGACCCACCCCCCAGGCCACCCCUUAGUGGCAUAUCCCAGAGUUAGUCUGGUCUUGGACACAGGAGGAGAGAACAGGUUCUCCCCAGGGGGGCAGCACAGCCCCUGCCUGAGGAGCUUCAGCCAAAGUCCAGGCUCCCAGCAGAGGCCAGAGCCCACAGCCUAGCUAGGCCUGAGGUUCUACAACAGGGCAGUGAACAGGCCUGGGGACUGGGGUCACAGGAGAGGUGGCUGGUUUUCUUCAGGCACUCGCUGGAGAAGUGGUUCUUCUGAGGUUUACUCGCUGUCCUGUGUCCCCAGCUCCUGGCCAGGGUAGGAAAGGAGAGGGAGGGAGAUGAAGGGGGUGUGGUGGGGCACAGCAUGGCAGGCAGGAAGGAGGAGGGGACAGCAGAGCUGCCAGACUGGGCCCCACCAGCAGGGAGUCCAGGAAUAGCAGCAACCACAACCACCACCUUAGGGAGUGUCAUCCUGCCCACUUUUGUUUUCCAACUGAGGGCACAUUAAGGGUGAGCACAGGGAGGCACCAGGCCUUUUGGACUAUGCUAUGGCAUCCAGAGAAGCAUCUACAGCCUCAGCAAGGUCAGGGGCAACAGGGAACGACUGAGCUGGAAAAAACUUCAGUCUCAACAAGUCUGCCCCUGCCUCCUGAUAUCUAAGGUAGAAAAUACACAGACUUUGAAGCCGAAAGAACUGGAUUAAACCAUGCCUCCACCACAAAUUACCUGUAUUCACGCAUUCAUCCUAAAAAUAGUUUCAGCUUCUACUAUGUAGCAGGCCCUGAGCUAUGUGCUGGGGUUACUAACAAAAACGAAGCCUAGUCCCUAUCUUUGAGGAACUUACCCAGAAAAGGAGUGAUGGACCCAUAAACAGAUCUCAGGGAAGGCUCCCUAGAGGAGGUGUUGUCAGAGUUGACUUUAAAUAUGAAUAGCAGUUAGAUGAAAAGGAAGAGGAAGGGCAUUCCAGGCAGAGAAGACAACAUGAGCAAAACCAGCAUGGUGUGUCAGGAGCUGCUGGGAGAUGAAGCAUGUGGCAGUGUCUCUGUCAAGAUUCUUAGUUGAGAGCAACAGAAACCAGUGCUAGCUAGUUUAAGCAGAAAAGGAAUUUACUAAAAGGAUAUUGGAUCCCACAUUCCUGGAAGCCCUUUUUGAUUUAUUAAAGUUUGUUUAAGUAAUCUCUACACCCAACAUGGGGCUCAAACUCAUGACCCUGAGAUCAAGAGUUUCAUGCUUGGUUGACCAAGCCAGUUAGUUAGGUACCCGAGGCCCCAGUUUAGAAUCUCAAAGCUAAACUCCUCAAACCCACACAGGGCAGGAAACAUGGCAAAGUUAGCUCUGGAGGCACCCCAGAGGUCAUUUUUGUCUAUAGUUCCUAAUCUUGAGUCCAUGGGAGCAAAAAGAUAUAUAGAAUAUUUUGAGUAUGUGUAAAUGUAUUUUUCUGGGGACAAGGUCCAUGACUUUUAUCAGAUUCUCAAAGGAACCCACACUGUAGGUCAGAUUCUCCCAGAAGCAAAUCCUGAAGUGAAGAUUCAUGUGUAAGUGAUUUAGUAAAGAAAUGUUCCCAGGAGAAGCCAGUAAGGUAGAAAAGGAAGCAGGAUAGUAGGGAAAGGGGACGAAACCAGGGAAGAGUGUAAUAUUGUGUGAAACCACACUCAGCCUGAUGCUUAGGGAACUCGGGGGCAUUAAUUGCACCUUCAAGUUUUUUCCUACUCAAGACAAAGUAGCUAGGCUUUUGUACUCUCAUGGCAGUGGGUCAUUGGCUAUGGGCCAGGUGCCCUGCCGUUUUGUGUGGGUCAUAAACUGCCAGGCACUUUCAGCUCUCCUAAGGGAAAAGAAGUCUCCAGCUCCCAAGGGCAAUCCUUGAACACUUAAUGAAGGGUUGCAGGCACAAGGCUGGUAAAGGGAAUUUGAGGGAUUUGGGCAUGUAUAGUUCAUAUUCCAAAAAAUUCAGGAAUCACUGAUCUAGUACAACCACAUAAUUUUAUAGACUAGGAAAUGGGGAACACUUCUGAUUGUAUAGUGCCUAGGUACCCAACUAAACCUCAUAAACCUUCUAAACACCCCCAAAUUCUAGAUAAAGGAAAAAAAAUCUUUUUUCUUUUUGAAAAACAAUCUUAUUAAACACACUUAUGAACUGACGGUAAAGUAAGCAAUGCUCAGGCCAGAAAGAGACAAAAGCUAGAAUUCAGAGGGCAAUGAAUGAAAAGUAAUGAAAUCAGCUUUUACCUUGAAUACAUUGAACUUCGUGAACUUGAGCUUCAGUUUUUCAGCCUCAUGGAAAUGGGACAACAUUUAAUAAGUCCAUGCUUGUGGCACCUGCAUGGCUCAGUCGGUUGAGCAUCCAAUUCUUUAUUUUGGCCCAGGUCCUGAUCCCAGGGUCAUAGGAUCAAGCCCUAUGUCCGGCUCCUUGCUGGCCAUAGAAUCUGCUUGAGAUUCUCUCUCUCUCUCUCUCUCUCUCUCUCUCUCUCUCUCUC